Molecule: ribosomal RNA, 342 nt
Filed under: uncultured bacterium
Lineage: Bacteria
Description: bacterial SSU rRNA
Rfam family: Bacterial small subunit ribosomal RNA
Source: RNAcentral
CUAGCGACUUCAGAGUUUGAUCCUGGCUCAGGAUGAACGCUAGCUACAGGCUUAACACAUGCAAGUCGAGGGGUCUUGACGGAGCUUGCUCCUGAUAGACGACCGGCGCACGGGUGAGUAACGCGUAUCCAACCUGCCCUUCAUAUUGGGAUAGCCUUCCGAAAGGGAGAUUAAUACCGAAUAACAUAUCAAGAUUGCAUGAUAUUGAUAUGAAAGAUCCGUCGAUGAAGGAUGGGGAUGCGUUUCAUUAGGUAGUAGGCGGGGUAACGGCCCACCUAGCCAACGAUGAAUAGGGGUUCUGAGAGGAAGGUCCCCCCACACUGGAACUGAGACACGGUCCAG